GACGAACGCUGGCGGCGUGCUUAACACAUGCAAGUCGAACGGAAAGGCCCUGCUUUUGUGGGGUGCUCGAGUGGCGAACGGGUGAGUAACACGUGAGUAACCUGCCCUUGACUUUGGGAUAACUUCAGGAAACUGGGGCUCAUACCGGAUAGGAGCUCCUGCUGCAUGGUGGGGGUUGGAAAGUUUCGGCGGUUGGGGCUCGACUCGCGGCUUAUCAGCUUGUUGGUGGGGUAGUGGCUUACCAAGGCUUUGAGGGAUAGCCGGCCUGAGAGGGGGACCGGCCACAAUGGGACUGAGAUACGGAGCAGACUGCAACGGGAGGCAGCAGUGGGGAAUAUUGCACAACGGGCGCGAGCCUGAUGCAGCAGUGCCGCGUUCGGGAUGACGGGCUUCGGGGGGUAAACCGCUUUCGCCUGUGACGAAGCGUGAGUGACGGUAAUGGGUAAAGAAGCACCGGCUAACUACGUG
This 468-nucleotide ribosomal RNA is filed under the name uncultured bacterium. Its description in RNAcentral is "partial 16S ribosomal RNA". It matches the Rfam family "Bacterial small subunit ribosomal RNA", at positions 28 to 507 of the family's 1533-position model. The record is from RNAcentral.